This is a small nucleolar RNA of Anoplophora glabripennis (Asian longhorned beetle), 140 nucleotides long. Lineage: Eukaryota; Metazoa; Arthropoda; Insecta; Coleoptera; Cerambycidae. The record is from RefSeq and is a predicted model, not a curated record.
CUCUGGCCCUAUCGAAGCUGUCAUAUGUUUAUUGCAAGGCAUGCGAUAGUCAAAAUGAGGCCUAAAUAAAUGUUCUACCUUAGGUCACUGUAUAGUUCUCUGCCAUAACUGAAACAGUAUUACCCAGGUAGAAAACAAUA